AUUGCUGCAUUAGACCGAAUGCACCAUGUGGAAAUCAACCUUGGAGAGCUGAGUA
RNAcentral lists this small nucleolar RNA (55 nucleotides) under Chelydra serpentina (North American snapping turtle). Lineage: Eukaryota; Metazoa; Chordata; Testudines; Chelydridae. The record is from RNAcentral.